AACUAAUUUUUUCGUGAUGAACCCACUUUGCUAUCAGAGUUGAAUUUUGGUACCAAACUAAUAUUAGUCAGACAACAAUGAUACUUGCACGAUUGGGCAUGGUGAAGCAAAUGUUAUUGGUAAUGAGACCAUUGAUCAUAAAAAUAUCAAUGAUUCUGUUGCUAAAAUGUGGCCAAAACAACUGCACGAGACGAUGGAAGCUUUAUAUUUGUACCUGACAAUUAUUUUUCUUUUUUUUUUAGGAGAAAGAUUGUAUUUUAUUCCAAGGUGGAAAUAGAUUGUUGUACAUCAGAUUCAAAUAAGAGGUCCAAUUGGUAAGGGACCUCAUCUAUCCAACAUCUUUCUCCUAAAACAAAAGCUAGUCUAGCUAAUUUGUG
RNAcentral lists this long non-coding RNA (377 nucleotides) under Glycine max (soybean). Its description in RNAcentral is "long non-coding RNA (GMAX_LNC000462)". The record is from RNAcentral. Lineage: Eukaryota; Viridiplantae; Streptophyta; Magnoliopsida; Fabales; Fabaceae.